Molecule: ribosomal RNA, 510 nt
Filed under: Galathea strigosa
Lineage: Eukaryota; Metazoa; Arthropoda; Malacostraca; Decapoda; Galatheidae
Description: partial 16S ribosomal RNA
Rfam family: Bacterial large subunit ribosomal RNA
Source: RNAcentral
GUCUGUAUGAAGUUAUAUAGAGUCUGACCUGCCCACUGAAAUAAAUAAAAGGCCGCGGUAUAUUAACUGUGCAAAGGUAGCAUAAUCAUUAGUUUUUUAAUUGAAGGCUUGUAUGAAGGGUUGGACAAAGGAUAAGCUGUCUUUAUUAUUAUUUUUGAAUUUGUCUUUUAAGUGAAAAGACUUAAAUAAUUUUAAGGGACGAUAAGACCCUAUAAAUCUUUAUAUUAAUUUAUUUUUAUAUUAAUUUAUAAUGUAAAUGAAAAAAGAAAAUAAAAGAUAUUAUAUUGGGGUGAUAAGAAUAUAAAAUAAACUGUUCUAAAUUUAAAACAAAGUUGUUUGUAAGUAAAAGAUCCUUUUUAGAGAUUAAAAGUUUAAGUUACUUUAGGGAUAACAGCGUUAUUUUUUUUGAGAGUUCAAAUCGAAAAAAAAGUUUGCGACCUCGAUGUUGAAUUAAAAUUUCUUUAUGGUGUAGMCGUUAUAAAAGAAAGUCUGUUCGACUUUUAAAAUUUU